ACAGAGGCGAUGAUGGAACAACACUGUGAAGAGGUGGGUGUGCAUGUGUGCGUGUGUGCACACAUGCAUGUGUCAGACAGGCAUCCAUCCUAUCCAGGAGAUAGGAAACCAAGAAUGCAAAGACAACUCAGCAGAUCUGCUGGCAUGGAGGCGAGGCUGCAUGGAAGGAUCUGGAUUGGAUAGGAGUGUCCCAUUCAGGACAUGUGUCACUCAAAACCACACAACUCAGACUUGGGGAAUAUUCUAUGCCAGUCACAUCUGUUUACAACACGUGUGGCAUCUCCUGUGGACGGAGUUGACAGUCUCAUCCUGAGAUAGGCAGAGCCUGGAGUGGAAAACCACAGCACGGCUCCCCAUAAAAGUCAUCUUUAUGGACAGAUAUUUCAUGGCGGCAGCUUGAGAAGGCUCACGUUUCUUAGGCAGCUGGUGCAGAGCCAGGAGAGCUAAUCAUGAGAUCUUCCAGUCCCAGGACGCGGGCUGCGGCUGGCGGCUGUGGCCGUCUUAUAUCAAACUCUCAAGAGUCACAGGGCAGCAGCAUUGGCCCCCUCCCAAGUCAUUCCAGAUGGGAUUUAAGGUGGCUUAAUGAGCAUUCAUAAAAUACAGCAAGAGAACAUAAAUUGAAAAGGGUGUGCAAGAAGAAAUCAAA
RNAcentral lists this long non-coding RNA (646 nucleotides) under Pan troglodytes (chimpanzee). RNAcentral describes it as "long non-coding RNA NONPTRT003079". The record is from RNAcentral. Lineage: Eukaryota; Metazoa; Chordata; Mammalia; Primates; Hominidae.